UACGUAGGGAGCAAGCGUUGUCCGGAAUCAUUGGGCGUAAAGCGCGCGUAGGUGGCUUCGUAAGUCCGUUGUGAAAGUCAAAGGCUCAACCUUUGAAAGCCGAUGGAUACUGCGGAGCUAGAGUACGGAAGAGGCGAGUGGAAUUCCUGGUGUAGCGGUGGAAUGCGCAGAUAUCAGGAGGAACACCAAUAGCGAAGGCAGCUCGCUGGGACGGUACUGACGCUGAGACGCGAAAGCGUGGGGAGCGAACAGG
This 253-nucleotide ribosomal RNA is filed under the name uncultured bacterium. RNAcentral describes it as "partial 16S ribosomal RNA". It matches the Rfam family "Bacterial small subunit ribosomal RNA", at positions 524 to 776 of the family's 1533-position model. The record is from RNAcentral.